AACGAACGCUGGCGGCGCGCCUAAUACAUGCAAGUCGAGCGAGAAGACGCAGCAAUACGUUUGUAAAGCGGCGAACGGGUGAGGAAUACAUGGGUAACCUACCCUCGAGUGGGGAAUAACUAGCCGAAAGGUUAGCUAAUACCGCGUACGCUCCUUGGACUUCGGUUCAGGGAGGAAAGCGAUACCGUGGGUAUCGCGCUCUUGGAUGGGCUCAUGUCCUAUCAGCUUGUUGGGAGGUAACGGCUCACCAAGGCUUCGACGGGUAGCUGGUCUGAGAGGACAAUUAGCCACACUGGCACUGCGACACGGGCCAGACUCCUACGGGAGGCAGCAGUAAGGAAUAUUGCGCAAUGGGCGAAAGCCUGACGCAGCGACGCCGCGUGGGGGAUGAAGGUCUUCGGA
Molecule: ribosomal RNA, 402 nt
Filed under: uncultured bacterium
Lineage: Bacteria
Description: bacterial SSU rRNA
Rfam family: Bacterial small subunit ribosomal RNA
Source: RNAcentral